This 400-nucleotide ribosomal RNA is filed under the name uncultured bacterium. Its description in RNAcentral is "bacterial SSU rRNA". It matches the Rfam family "Bacterial small subunit ribosomal RNA", at positions 355 to 772 of the family's 1533-position model. The record is from RNAcentral.
UGGGGAAUAUUGCACAAUGGAGGAAACUCUGAUGCAGCGACGCCGCGUGAGUGAAGAAGUAGUUCGCUAUGUAAAGCUCUAUCAGCAGGGAAGAUAGUGACGGUACCUGACUAAGAAGCUCCGGCUAAAUACGUGCCAGCAGCCGCGGUAAUACGUAUGGAGCAAGCGUUAUCCGGAUUUACUGGGUGUAAAGGGAGUGUAGGUGGCCAGGCAAGUCAGAAGUGAAAGCCCGGGGCUCAACCCCGGGACUGCUUUUGAAACUGCAGGGCUAGAGUGCAGGAGGGGCAAGUGGAAUUCCUAGUGUAGCGGUGAAAUGCGUAGAUAUUAGGAGGAACACCAGUGGCGAAGGCGGCUUGCUGGACUGUAACUGACACUGAGGCUCGAAAGCGUGGGGAGCAAA